RNAcentral lists this long non-coding RNA (200 nucleotides) under Lathyrus oleraceus (garden pea). RNAcentral describes it as "Pisum sativum (pea) long non-coding RNA (PSAT_LNC012918)". The record is from RNAcentral. Lineage: Eukaryota; Viridiplantae; Streptophyta; Magnoliopsida; Fabales; Fabaceae.
UCUGGUUCUGGGUCUCUAGCAGUUACUGGUAAGAGUUUGUGUUCCCGAUCUCUUACUGUUUGUGGUAAUAUUCCUAAAAAUGCGUGGAUUCUUGACUCUGGUGCUACUAAUCAUAUGACAUUUGAUUCCACAUUAUUAUGCUCUUAUACCACACCUUCGAGUAUUCCUUAUAUCACUGUUGUUGAUGGCUCUCAUGCUUG